CAGCCCAGUCUUUUUUUAAAUCCAUGUCUAAUUUUUUUUCUAUUUUCAAGCCUAAGUCAAGUCUUCUUUUAAGUGUAACUUUUAUCUUGAAUUAAUAGGUCUCGGUAUUGCUUAAUAGUCCCAGAGUACUGCGCGAGACGUCCACUUCCAUCUAAAUUUUAGUAAGCCGGUCCAUCAGCAGAAGGCGCUGAAUGCCAAAGGACUGGCAAGUGAAGAUGAUGUGAUCUGAGGCAUGUUACACACCAGCUGCAAUGAAGCUAUUGGAGAUAUCCUGAAUGCUCCAGUAAUGAGUCGAAAACCAAUGGAGAUCAAAUCACUUGAAAGUAUAGCAAGAUUUACAUUGUUAAGUGCAUCAACUAUGUCAAAGAAGAUACAUACAAGUUUUCUUUUACAAGAGACAGCAUUGUAAAUGUCUAGCUGAAGAUGACUUAUGCUCUCCUGUACUGAUCUGCCUCUUCAGAAGCCGAAUUGAUUAUUAGAUAAUACUUAAUGGAGUGCUGCGAGUAUGUUUCACAUAAAAUGACCCAGCUGUCACAACAUUCCUGAUUUAAGAUAAGUUUCUUUUUAGCCUGAAGUCUUUUAAAAUUAAUAAAAUUUUCUUCUGUAGGGUUUUGUUUGAAGUUUACAUAUGCAUUUUUUGAAUUUUCUACUGCUAAAUAGCACUUUUCAUUCCACCAUGGAAGAUUCAAUCUCUUUUUAUCUCUGCAAGUGUUUUUAUUACUAUUGACAUUGUAAUUUUUUGGGAGGGAAUUAAUUAUAGCUAAGUGGAAUAUAUUACAUAGAUUAUCAUAAACUUCAUUAGCUGUUAAAGAGUCUACCUCUAAUGUAUUAAAUAACUCAUUAACUGUAUUACUGUAUAUUUCCCAAUUUACAAGUUUAAAGUUAGAACGUUUAUUGUUUAUUGUGUAUAUAUACAGGUGUACCUAAAACAUUGUUUUGAAUGUUAUUGUUAUUCU
This is a long non-coding RNA of Hyposmocoma kahamanoa, 956 nucleotides long. RefSeq lists it as uncharacterized. The record is from RefSeq and is a predicted model, not a curated record. The transcript is spliced from 5 exons. Lineage: Eukaryota; Metazoa; Arthropoda; Insecta; Lepidoptera; Cosmopterigidae.